This 381-nucleotide ribosomal RNA is filed under the name Acanthamoeba genotype T4. RNAcentral's name for it is "SSU rRNA". The stretch from base 1 to 325 matches the Rfam family "Eukaryotic small subunit ribosomal RNA", at positions 800 to 1114 of the family's 1831-position model. Lineage: Eukaryota; Discosea; Longamoebia; Acanthamoebidae. The record is from RNAcentral.
UACAUUAGCAUGGGAUAAUGGAAUAGGACCCUGUCCUCCUAUUUUCAGUUGGUUUUGGCAGCGCGAGGACUAGGGUAAUGAUUAAUAGGGAUAGUUGGGGGCAUUAAUAUUUAAUUGUCAGAGGUGAAAUUCUUGGAUUUAUGAAAGAUUAACUUCUGCGAAAGCAUCUGCCAAGGAUGUUUUCAUUAAUCAAGAACGAAAGUUAGGGGAUCGAAGACGAUCAGAUACCGUCGUAGUCUUAACCAUAAACGAUGCCGACCAGCGAUUAGGAGACGUUGAAUACAAAACACCACCAUCGGCGCGGUCGUCCUUGGCGUUCGUGUUCACGCACGAGCGCGAGGGCGGUUUAGCCCGGUGGCACCGGUGAAUGACUCCCUAGCG